CAGUCGCCACGGGAAUACGUAGGGUGCGAGCGUUGUCCGGAAUUACUGGGCGUAAAGAGCUCGUAGGUGGUUUGUCGCGUUGUUCGUGAAAACUCACAGCUUAACUGUGGGCGUGCGGGCGAUACGGGCGGACUAGAGUACUGCAGGGGAGACUGGAAUUCCUGGUGUAGCGGUGGAAUGCGCAGAUAUCGGGAGGAACACCGGUGGCGAAGGCGGGUCUCCGGGCAGUAACUGACGCUGAGGAGCGAAAGCGUGGGGAGCGAACAGGAUUAGAUACCCCAGUAGUCCCUGUCUCUUAUAC
RNAcentral lists this ribosomal RNA (301 nucleotides) under uncultured bacterium. RNAcentral describes it as "partial 16S ribosomal RNA". It matches the Rfam family "Bacterial small subunit ribosomal RNA", at positions 509 to 807 of the family's 1533-position model. The record is from RNAcentral.